UGCAAGGUUGCCUUGCACGCCUGCAGCACGAAUCCACUGGGUGGGCUCUUCCAUUAAGUGCGUUUAGACGAAUCAAGAUCGUGCUGUUCCAGCGAAGCCUAGUAGUGUGCACCACGGAUGAGACCUCGCUGAAUACGAAGCUUUCGUACUCAAUCUUACAUUUUCCCCACUGUUAGUGUAUUGAAUUUUCUAACAGCCUGACGAUUCCCGAAACCCAUUAACCCAAUGAUGGAGUUAUCCUUGAUGUCAGCGCAGACCAGACCAACACAACCAUGACUUAGUCUCUCUGCACUGGUCCAAUCGCUGCUCAGUGCCUUCUGAGUCCAGCGCUCUCCUUUUAAAUCCCCCUCUCUGUGGUGAAUCAGCACUCGCAGCGCAGCCCUCCGGUGAUACAGCAAGUGGUACAGAAGUCUACUGAAACAGCCUACACAUUUUCCGGCUGUGAGUGGGGCCUUCAUGGAUUCCCCGUACAAUGGCAACACGUCCCUCCAGACCUCCACCUCCAACCUCAAUGCCAAC
This is a long non-coding RNA of Salvelinus fontinalis (brook trout), 519 nucleotides long. RefSeq lists it as uncharacterized. Lineage: Eukaryota; Metazoa; Chordata; Actinopteri; Salmoniformes; Salmonidae. The transcript is spliced from 3 exons. The record is from RefSeq and is a predicted model, not a curated record.